This is a long non-coding RNA of Mauremys reevesii (Reeves's turtle), 363 nucleotides long. RefSeq lists it as uncharacterized. Lineage: Eukaryota; Metazoa; Chordata; Testudines; Geoemydidae. The record is from RefSeq and is a predicted model, not a curated record. The transcript is spliced from 3 exons.
GGGAUGCUUGAGCAGACAAGAAGACAGUAUAGAGACUGUUGGGUGUGAGUAAGCUCCAGCAGAGAAACUUUGACAUGAGACUACAGGCAGGAAAGGCCUGGGAGUGACCUGAAAAGGAGGAACUUCAGUGAUAGCAAGACUAGAACUGGGAUCCUCCCAUGAAGCACAAGCUCCUCUCACAGAGCAGGUAGCUCUCAACAGUAAACUGCCUAUGAUACACAGCUGAGCAGAUGAGCCCUGUUUCCAGUCGGUUGUGGCUGGAAUCAUACAAGAGGCUGCUUUGGCUGUAUUGGCCACAGGAAGUACCAGAAAUCUUACAAGAGAAACUGUUCUUUUAUGCUUUCUAUUAUGGAUAAAAAAAAC